Molecule: ribosomal RNA, 301 nt
Filed under: uncultured bacterium
Lineage: Bacteria
Description: partial 16S ribosomal RNA
Rfam family: Bacterial small subunit ribosomal RNA
Source: RNAcentral
CAGCCGCCGCGGUAAUACGUAGGUGGCAAGCGUUGUCCGGAAUUAUUGGGCGUAAAGGGCUCGCAGGCGGUUUCUUAAGUCUGAUGUGGAAGCCCCCGGCUCAACCGGGGAGGGUCAUUGGAAACUGGGAAACUUGAGUGCAGAAGAGGAGAGUGGAAUUCCACGUGUAGCGGUGAAAUGCGUAGAGAUGUGGAGGAACACCAGUGGCGAAGGCGACUCUCUGGUCUGUAACUGACGCUGAGGAGCGAAAGCGUGGGGAGCGAACAGGAUUAGAUACCCGUGUAGUCCCUGUCUCUUAUAC